RNAcentral lists this ribosomal RNA (255 nucleotides) under uncultured bacterium. RNAcentral describes it as "partial 16S ribosomal RNA". It matches the Rfam family "Bacterial small subunit ribosomal RNA", at positions 79 to 334 of the family's 1533-position model. The record is from RNAcentral.
CAAAACCAAAGCUGGCGACCGGCGCACGGGUGAGUAACACGUAUCCAACCUGCCUCAUACUCGGGGAUAGCCUUUCGAAAGAAAGAUUAAUAUCCGAUAGCAUAUAUUUCCCGCAUGGGUUUUAUAUUAAAGAAAUUCGGUAUGAGAUGGGGAUGCGUUCCAUUAGUUUGUUGGGGGGUAACGGCCCACCAAGACUACGAUGGAUAGGGGUUCUGAGAGGAAGGUCCCCCACAUUGGAACUGAGACACGGUCCAA